UGAAAGAAGGAUGGAUACAUGUCGGAGAUGGUUGUAACCAAGGACUCCUGAUAUACAAACUGUUGAGCUCACCCAUGGAAGCUCAGUUCUGAAGGACGAAAACAGGUAGAGAAAAGUCCAUGCCAGAAUGACGAUGUAAUACACCCCAGUGUACAAAACAACAACUUGGCUUCCAUAACCCAGGCCUAUGGAGAGACAGGGUUGAGGUACGGCGGAGCUCAUUGGCGAGCUAGGCGCAAGUUGAGGACAGCCGGUGUGCGACACGACGGAGCCAAAACCGAGACGGUUUAGGAGUUGAACGAAGAGGUUCCUUCUCCUGGAUUUGACUGACAUGAUUCCAGCUUUUUAAGACUCCUCUAAUUGAAAAUAGAGAACAAUCUUAUCCUGGAUUUGGGACCCUUCGACUGAUGUUAUUUUGGUUUAGCUCUGAAAGGAAUUUUA
Xiphophorus maculatus (southern platyfish) is the source of this 441-nucleotide long non-coding RNA. RefSeq lists it as uncharacterized. Lineage: Eukaryota; Metazoa; Chordata; Actinopteri; Cyprinodontiformes; Poeciliidae. The record is from RefSeq and is a predicted model, not a curated record. The transcript has 3 exons.